RNAcentral lists this ribosomal RNA (433 nucleotides) under uncultured bacterium. RNAcentral describes it as "partial 16S ribosomal RNA". It matches the Rfam family "Bacterial small subunit ribosomal RNA", at positions 30 to 507 of the family's 1533-position model. The record is from RNAcentral.
AUUGAACGCUGGCGGCAUGCCUAACACAUGCAAGUCGAACGAAGCCUUCGGGCUUAGUGGCGCACGGGUGCGUAACGCGUGGGAAUCUGCCCCUUGCUUCGGAAUAACAGUUAGAAAUGACUGCUAAUACCGGAUGAAGUCUUCGGACCAAAGAUUUAUCGGCAAGGGAUGAGCCCGCGUAGGAUUAGGUAGUUGGUGGGGUAAAGGCCUACCAAGCCGACGAUCCUUAGCUGGUCUGAGAGGAUGAUCAGCCACACUGGGACUGAGACACGGCCCAGACUCCUACGGGAGGCAGCAGUGGGGAAUAUUGGACAAUGGACGCAAGUCUGAUCCAGCAAUGCCGCGUGAGUGAUGAAGGCCUUAGGGUUGUAAAGCUCUUUUACCAGGGAUGAUAAUGACAGUACCUGGAGAAUAAGCUCCGGCUAACUCCGUG